UGGCUGAACACAGCUACCCUGGCAAGUGUGCACAGCCCUAUAUACAGUUUCUUUUUAAUUUCCCACCCCCUUCCAACAGCAGAGCCCAGGAGGGGACUUCAGUGAUGUUCAGCUUUCCUCCCACUUUCAAGUUGCAUCACUUGUGUGAUGCUCUUUGAAACUGGAACAUUCUACAUGAUGAUGAUAAACAUCCGCCAUGUGUCACAAUGUUUCUUCAAGUUAAGUGUCACAUUAUCUGGCAUUAUAAGUAGGUGCCUAUUUUUUAUUGUUGUGAUGCCUUAAUUACAGAUUCUGCACAGAUCAAUGGUAUUUCUCAUACAGAUUUAUCAAAUAUCUGUCAUAAGCUGGUGAUUUGUCCUUUUCAAUAUAGACUUUCUACUGAUUCAGGUGUUUAUCAUACACUUAAUAGAGCUUGCUAUAUGCCAAGCUAAGCCUGGGGUAUAUAGAAAUAAGGAAAACAGGGUUCUUAUUCUCAACCAUCAAUCACUUGGAAUUUAGAGGAGAAAUAAUUUAGAGAGAAUUGGUAUUUGUAAAUCACUGUGGUAAGUUUCAUGGCAUUGAUAUUUGCGCUGCAAGUUACAGGAUCAUGGAAGGGACCCUGAUUUCAUCCUGUGGCAUUAAGAAAGACAAAAAGAAGGCUUCCUAAGGGGCUGACUUAAAAGAGUGAAGAUAAAUUAUGGUGAAGAAGCAGCAGCUUGAAGCAAUAAAUGAAAGUAAGAAACAGUAGCUUCUGGCUUAGGAGCCAGAGGCAAUUUUGUGCUUGAACAGAACCUGUGAGGUGGGAAAUAGUAAAAAGCAGUGAGUAGCUGAAGUCAGGUCGUUGGUUCCCCCAUGAAAUGUUAGGGACUUCAGAUUUUCUCCAAAGCCAUUGAAGAUGUAUCAAAAGAACAAAUAAAGAGUACCAUUGGUCAGUUUAGGACCAUUGUGUGGUUUUGAGAUUAUUUUAUAAGACUCUGUGAAAUUUGUGUUUGAAAAAAAUGAGGUUUAAAUGACUGAAUGGUCACUUUUUGCUGGACCAAAACAUAGCCCUGAAGAAUGUUAAAGCCAAAACCAUUAACGUCUAAAAUUCAGUAUUUCACUGAAUGUCAUUAAAAUCAGGGUGUUACAUAUUUAUUUAUUUCUACUUAGAGAAGAAUGGGAGAGAUUGGAUACUAGCAAGCCUGAUGAUAUGUACAAGGCUUUGGGAGAGGGAGACAGUCACAAGUGUUUCUUGAGUCCCUGGCAGACACUGAACCAAUGGACAAAGAUAUAUGGAGUCAAGAAUAUUCUCAAAACUUGAGCUUUUCCAGUGGAUUGUCAAAAAAUAUAUUGAGUUUCUUAUCAGAAGUAUAAAGUCAGAAACCUAAAGAUUGAAGACAUUCAGAAAUUACUUGUUCAAUUAUUUUAUUUACCAAGGUCCAAGCAAAAGCCAAACAGGUGAAAUGAUUUAACUAAAUCAGGGAGGAAUUUUAAUUGCUCUUCAUUUACAGUUCUUUCCACUCAGCCAUACAAAGUUUAGGAUAAAAACAGAAGAUAUCAAUAAGUUUGGGCAUUGGGAGUGACUAUGAAUUACAUGUGUUAUGUGAUCCUAUCCUUGUCUAAGAGUCUAUAGAUUUUUAAAAAGAUAUUCCAUUUUAACAGAUUUAAGAUAAAAUGUUAGUGAAUGGGUUGAUACCUUCUGACUUCUCUCCAGUCAAAACUAAUAUGUUUGAAGUAAUCACAUUUUUUCCAUUGUCUCACUCCAAUUACCUUUUUUAUAUUACACUAUUGCCUUAUUGAAAGUUUUAGAGUUCUCUUCAGUAAACGUGUAUUGAGGGUCUAUAUUGAUAAAAUAGUUUCUCUAUCCUAGAGGAGGAUGUAGCCAGUAGUGUGAUCAUAUAUCAUUAAAAUAAAAAAUUUUAUUCCCUUCAUAAAACUGACUUUAGAUCACUUUGCUAAUCCUUUACAUCAAUGUUUUGUAAUACUGCAAGUAACAAUGCAAGCAGCAAUAUUAACUUAAAAUAUGAAGCCAUUCAUUAAGAGAAAAAAACCCAUGAUGGAUAAAAAUAUUUAAGUUUCUUAAAAACCAGAAAUACCUGGUAAGAUGAAAAACCAAAGACUGUGAAUAGUUUAUGAAAGAGUCUUAAGAAGUAUUUUGGCAAAUGGCAUUAGAAUAUUAAAUGAAAAGGUAAAGCAUUUGUCUUUUAUCCAGAAUAGCAAUAACUGUUAAUUCAGUAUUUCAAGUUACAAAAUGUGUGGACAUUUGUGUCUGUGUGGGUGCCAUUCAGUUCAGUCUUGGGCAAUUGAAAUGGCUAAAUAACACCCAUAUGGUAAACAGCUUGGUACGCCCAGUAUAAAGGAAAAGGUGUUGGCAGGGAAUCUGUGAAGGAGGCAUUAUUAUUUUCACUCAUAGAGGUGAUGUAAAUGUCUAGCUUCCAAGGCUUUGUUUCUUUCCUUUAGUUUUUUUUUCUUUUUCCUUUACUUCCUUCUUCCUUCCUUCCUUUCUUUUUGUUGCUAUGUUAGACUUUGGCUGGGUUUUCAUAGAAUGGAAUAUUUUUCAAUAUUAAGUGCUCAUGCCCAGAAAAUAUAUAGAGUUGGUUGUCUUGGAGGGUGAUAGAAGGCAACCUGUGUAUUUAGUUUCUAUAACAAGGAUCAGGUGCAUUAAGCAGAGAUGAAAAAACAUAAAAUAUGAUUUCUGGGAGUUCCCGUCAUGGCUCAGUGGUUAACGAACCCGACUAGUAUCCUUGAGGACAUGGGUUCACUCCCUGGGUUCGUUCAGCGGGUUAAGGAUCCAGUGUUGCUGUGAGCUGUAGUGUAGGUCUCAGAUACGGCUUGGAUCCUGCAUUGCUAUGGCUGUGGUGUAGGCCAGCAGACAGCUCUGAUUGAACCCCUAGCCUGGGGAACCUCCAUGUGCUAUGGGUAAGGCCCCAAAAAGACAAGAAAAAUAUGAUUUCUAUCUGACAAAAAUCUGCAUUCUUUAUAGGGCAGUAUGAUAUGGGAAGCAAAGAUAAUUCAACAGUAAUAGUUUAUUCUAUUAACACUUAAUAUAUAUUGAAUAUUAUCUACUAGGGCCCUUUUUAGUAAUUUCCACAUAUUGUUGAAUGAAUUUCAUUUUAUUUCCAUCAUGAGUCUGUGAAAUUAGCAUUAGUUGAUGAUGCUGAUUUUGCAGAUGUAGGAACUGAAGACCUGAGUGGUGAAUUUAAACCACUGAGUCUAUGGUCAGGAAUCUAACCCCAGACAGUCUUGCUCCAUAGCCCUACUUGUCACCACAGUGGUAGGAUGCCUUUAUAUAGUAAAAUAUCAAUUUUUUAAUAUUUUUGUAACAUUUCACAAGUUGUGGCAUUAGAAAAGACAUUUAAUACCACGUUGUUUAUAAUGGAUAUGGGGAAGAGGUCGGAAUUUGGAGUUAAGAGGAUGCAGCUUCACCAGUCUUAGGAAGUACUAGCUUCUAUAAUCCUCACCUUCUUCAUCUUUAAAAUGGCAACAUCAUUUCCCACAUGGUGUUGUUCUGAGGAUUAAAUUAAACUAUAUGUGUAAUGUAUUUAGCUGUUUAUUGACAUAUGGUAUGCUUUCAGUGAACUGUGUUUUUUUUUUUUUUUCAAAGCAAAGAUGUCUCGUCUAAAGAAAAUAGUGUGUGCAGACCAAUUAUCUGAAGUUUCAAGUAGUAAUAUUUGAAGUUUAUAUUUCUGAAGUAGAAGAUAAGCAUUAAAAACACUUUCCUUUUGUUUCAUUUUUGGAAAUAAAUAGUAUAUAUACCUCUGGUGCCAUAUAAUUUAAUUUUGAAUUUUUGAGUUUAAAAACCUCAAACAGAUACUUAUCAAAAGUAAAAUUUGAAUAGUUUGUCUCUGUUACUUGAAGGAAUGUUUUUGAACACACAACUUUGGAUUACUAAAAUCUGGGACUUUAAAUGCUACACCCAUGUCAAAUUGAUAACUAUUUUUGAGUUUUUACAGGGUUUUCUUUUUCAAUAUAACUUUUUAAAAAUUAUACAUCCAUCCCUGGAAAUGUUUCUUAGUAAUUACCAUAGAGGGUAAUGUGAAAGACAGUUUUCUCAUUUUAUUUUUAUACACCAAGAAUCAGAACUUUAAAAUCUCACAGAAAAUCUAACUAAACUAUUAAUUUUUUAACAUGUUUUGAAAUAUAACAUCCCUAAAACAAUACACCUUUGAAGAGGAAUAAUAUGCUUCAUUGAAAAUUAGUCAAACCACCUGACAUAAUAACAUCUUAAAUCAUUUUCUUAUUUUUAAAUAGAUUUGUAGAUAUUUUAAAGCACAUUCUGGGUGGAUUAUGUAAUGAUGUCUGCAAUACAAGAAUAACUAAAAAUGUAACUAAAAGAAUAAGCAUUAUAUUGAGUUAAUCUGCCAUAGGCAAUAUGAACACAAACCAGUUUAAGGGAGAUGUUCCAUAAAUAUGUUAAUGAAAUAAACAUCUGAUGCAAGGCUGAUACAUUACAAACAGAAAAAAAAUAUUCCAUUUUUUAAAAUAGUUCAAGACUUUUAAUGUAUUUUACACUUUCAUAAAAUAAACUAUGACUUGGAUCUAAACAUUAAAGAUUUUUGCCCUUAAAGACU
RNAcentral lists this long non-coding RNA (4529 nucleotides) under Sus scrofa (pig). RNAcentral's name for it is "lncRNA (ENSSSCG00000057559.1)". The record is from RNAcentral. Lineage: Eukaryota; Metazoa; Chordata; Mammalia; Artiodactyla; Suidae.